Symphalangus syndactylus (siamang) is the source of this 3470-nucleotide long non-coding RNA. RefSeq lists it as uncharacterized. Lineage: Eukaryota; Metazoa; Chordata; Mammalia; Primates; Hylobatidae. The record is from RefSeq and is a predicted model, not a curated record.
AAAUCAUGGGGCCAGCCUUUCCUGUGCUACUCUCAUGAUAGUGAAUAAGUCUCACGAGAUCUGAUGGGUUUAUCAGGGGUUUCCACUUUUGCUUCUUCCUCAUUUACUCUUGCUACCACCAUGUAAGAAGUGCCUUUCACUUCCCGCCAUGAUUCUGAGGCCUCCCCAGCCAUGUGGAACUAAGUGCCUUUUGCCUCCCACCAUGAUUCUGAGGCCUCCCCAGCCAUGUGGAACUGCUGGAGUGCAAUGGCAUGCUCUCAGCUCACUGCAACCUCCACCUCCCGGGUUCAAGCGAUUUUCCUGCCUCAGCCUCCUGAGUAGCUGUGAUUACAGAUUUUACCUGAUUCUUGGCCACAAGGUUUCAAGGGAGCCAGAACUAAUGAAGACAGCAUGGAAGGCCACAGCUGAGACCUACCUGUGGGAGUCCACCUCACCUUCAAGAACAGCUACCAUUUUAACACAGAUGGAUAAACCCCAUGAAAGUGAACUUCCUAAAUGCAAAUUCUGAUCUUGAAGCCCCAGUCGGCAAAUCUACUGGGGACCCUCCCAAACAACAAGAUGUAGAUGCUUUAGAAAUAACAAACUACACAAGUUGUCUUCCAUUCUUUCUCCCUCCUCUAUUUUCAACACGGAUAAAAUACAUAUACAUUUAUCUUGUUGAGCUCAGUAGGAUUAUUUAGCUUUAUUUUCAUGGCUGCCUUUUCUUAAUGUAAUAGAAUUUCCAGUCGAGCUUAUUACUUCCUUCAGUCACAAGCCUGAGGUCCUUUCACAUCCAUCCUGUCCUUGGCAAAGAUCUUUGGAAAGUAGCCUGGGACAUACCUAGUGGUAAGCCACCUGCUCUGGGUUGAGGGUGGAUCUAUUCUAGUCAGAGGCUUUGUGAUCUGGACAAAGGAAUUGAGUAUGUGGCUGUCAAAUUGUGAGGCAAUACUAAAUUUGGCUGGCCAGCUGAAUUCUAGCAGAAAAUCAUGCAAAAUAAGGUUUAGCAAUUGGGGAAAAAUGGCCCACAGGAAAAACAAAGGGAUGAAAUUCCGUAGGACUACAUGGCCAUAGAAUUUUAACUUGAGGGCUGCAACCAGCUAUGUGACCUUGUAGUACAAGGACCAGUCUUCAGAUACAAAAUAGAAUUUGGAGUUAAAAGGAUCUUUGAGAAGAAGCCAUUAUCCACCCCCUCCUCCCGAUUUUAUAUGCCCUAAGAAAAAGGUUUCUUUCAACUUUAGAAAGGUAUGAUUCUUGAAGUGCACUUCCUCCGAGUUUUCCUGAGCCUCUCAAUCAAAAUGACUUGCACCUGCCCAUCCAUUCCCAUCGGCUCAUGCUCCUACCCUGCAGUAUUGGUUUCAUUAUGCCUCACCUUGUACACCUGUCUGAUUCCUCUUCUAGAUUAUCAGCGCCUUGACAAUAGGCUCAUAUCUUGUGUAUCCCUGCAUUUCCAGGGACAAUGAUAGUGCCUGCCACAUAAUUGAUGGUCAAUAAAUUGUGGUUAAAUAGUAACAAGAAACUCCCAUUUAAAAAUGUGUUAUGGUUAUCAUUCUCAAUCCGGAUGCUCUCCUCUAUACACAGUUUUAUUCAGUAACUCUCUUAAAAUUGUAAAGGCGAGAAAUUGAACAUAGUUUCCCAGGUCUUUGAGCAGCACGAGAUACAGGGAGAAAAAAAUGCUUUGUGCUUGAAUACUUUACUUCCGGUUGGAGAAAAUAAACACUGCACUGGAUUAUUUUUAAAGAUACGUCACAUUACAUUUGUGAUCAACUGAAAUGCUAAGAUAUUUGCAUGUGGAUUUCUGCCACGCUGCUUUUCUCCCAUUCUUCAUGUGUGUGAUUGAUCUUGAACUCAAACGGUAGGACUUUAUAUAUUUUUUUCUUUUAACUCAAUGUAAAGUCUGACAAAAAUCACGUUAAAUUUGAUGCUGUCAGUGAAGACAUUAGCAAUUCUUCCUGGCUUAAGGUCACUGGCAAAUUUGAUAUACAUAUCUUUUGUGGUUUUUGUUGGGUUUGUUUUUUUGAGACAGGGUCUCACUCUGUCACCCAAGUUAGAGUACAGUGGCUUGAAAAUGGCUCACUGAAGCCUCGACCUCCCAGGCUUAAGCAAUCCUCCCACCUCAGCCUCCUGAGUAGCUGGGACUCCAGGCAUGCACCACAAUGUCUGCUGACUUUUUUUUUUUUUUUUGUAGAGAUGUGGUCUUCCUAUGGUUCCCAGGCUGGUCUUGAACUCCUGGGCUCAACCAAUCCGCCCACCUUGGCCUCCCAAAAUGCUGAGAUUACAGGCAUAAGCCACCACAUGCGGCCCUCUUUUCUGUUUUUAUCCCACUCUUUGACAAUGUUGGAAGGAUUAGGACUAGCUCUAAUAAGAGUCACCCCCUUCAUAUUGGGUAAUCAACCAACAGCUAGAAAUGUACACUGAAAUACUACCAGACAUCCCUUAUUUUACCAUCUUAUCCACAAAGAUCUUACAGAUGACAUUUUAAAAACAUUGUCGAAAGCACAGAAAUACUUUUAAGUACAGUAGCCCCUGAAGCUUGCCUGCCACAUAAUCUAUUAAAACUUAAAUGAAACGAGGCAAGUAUGGUGCAUGUGUAUGGUGGCCGUGGUACCAGUGGCAUGCUUUUUUAAAUUCUACAGUCUCUUCCAACUACCCUCUGCUUUUUAAGUAAGUCUAAUUUAGCAUAUGCUUUGGCAUUGAUAUUAGGCUGACUUUCCACUACUGGCAUCCCAUCUGAUGGCUAUCUCCAAUCUUAUUUAUCUCUUUCAUGAUUCCUCAAAAAUUAAUAACUGUGACUUUGAGACUAUAGUACAAGUUCUUUAAACAUCCACAGAUAAAGUUAUUUAGAUCUGAAAAUAAACUUUUUGAGGUUGGCCUUAAUAAGGGUAGGAGAGCUCUCCUGGAUUCCUCACUUAAGUGGCAAGGGUCUGCUGUCAGAGACUGAUUACUACUCUUCUUCUGAUUUUUGUCCAGUGAUGCAGGAUGAGGCAGUGGAACAGGCUUUGUCGCCUUAAAUAUCUUUAACUAUCAAACACAGCCACCUGGUGAGAAGCUGCUUAUCUUCAUCUCAGGAAACUUUAAACCUUUUCCCUAGUUGACUUGAAGAUUCUACACAUCUUGGUAUUCUUCUAUUCUUUUGAGGCUGAACAUAUUAAGGCCAUGAAUGAUUCCCAUGGUAUAAAGAUGCCAAGCUAGUUGUCACAAGAUGCCAAGCACUUAGAAGAAGGAGACCUUCCAGGUCAAACAUGCCAGAAUUAGAGGUGAAGGUCACAGGGCAGACUCACUCCUUCCCUGAUCAUAACUCAAGCUGCUAUCCUGAGAAGACGGUGCCAACCCAGGAGGCAACUGGAAAAUAUCCUGAUGGGGGAAGGAGUUUUCCUCUUACUCCUAUAGUCCUUGUUCAGAAUGUAAGCCUUGGAAUUGGUAGAAGAUAUCCAUGUUCUUGUUUCCAUGAGGUGUCAAACAUAAUGAGAUUAAUAAAAUAUCUUAAGAUUUAG